AUAGCAGUGAUAUGACACAUCAGUUCUCCUACAGAUUGAACCAAUGGGUAACAUGUACAGCGAGAACAAUAAUGGCGCCAAAAUUGAACCUUGAGGAACACCACAUGAAGAACAUGCUACAGAAGAGGAGUAUUGCCCAAUACUGUCUGAAAAUCUUCUGUUGGACAAAAAGGACCGAAACCAGACAAAUUGUUAAGGGUGCUCUUUCUUCAUUUAAAAGCAGACAAUGACCAGUCUCCGUCAAACUCUAUAACCCUGUGAAAUCA
Molecule: long non-coding RNA, 266 nt
Organism: Cyprinus carpio carpio
Lineage: Eukaryota; Metazoa; Chordata; Actinopteri; Cypriniformes; Cyprinidae
Source: Ensembl